RNAcentral lists this ribosomal RNA (253 nucleotides) under uncultured bacterium. RNAcentral describes it as "partial 16S ribosomal RNA". It matches the Rfam family "Bacterial small subunit ribosomal RNA", at positions 524 to 776 of the family's 1533-position model. The record is from RNAcentral.
UACGUAGGGACCUAGCGUUGUUCGGAAUCACUGGGCGUAAAGGGUAUGUAGGCGGUUUAAUAAGUCAGAUGUGAAAUAGCAGGGCUCAACCUUGCUGCUGCGUCUGAUACUGUUAGACUUGAGUAGCUGAGAGGAAGGCGGAAUUCCUGGUGUAGGGGUGAAAUCUAUAGAUAUCAGGAAGAACAUCGGUAGCGAAGGCGGCUUUCUGGCAGUUUACUGACGCUGAGGUACGAAAGGUAGGGGAGCUAACAGG